RNAcentral lists this ribosomal RNA (506 nucleotides) under uncultured bacterium. RNAcentral's name for it is "partial 16S ribosomal RNA". It matches the Rfam family "Bacterial small subunit ribosomal RNA", at positions 29 to 523 of the family's 1533-position model. The record is from RNAcentral.
AGUGAACGCUGGCGGUAGGCCUAACACAUGCAAGUCGAACGGCAGCACAGGAGAGCUUGCUCUCUGGGUGGCGAGUGGCGGACGGGUGAGGAAUACAUCGGAAUCUACUCUGUCGUGGGGGAUAACGUAGGGAAACUUACGCUAAUACCGCAUACGACCUACGGGUGAAAGCAGGGGACCCUCGGGCCUUGCGCGAUUGAAUGAGCCGAUGUCGGAUUAGCUAGUUGGCGGGGUAAAGGCCCACCAAGGCGACGAUCCGUAGCUGGUCUGAGAGGAUGAUCAGCCACACUGGAACAGAGACACGGUCCAGACUCCUACGGGAGGCAGCAGUGGGGAAUAUUGGACAAUGGGCGCAAGCCUGAUCCAGCCAUACCGCGUGGGUGAAGAAGGCCUUCGGGUUGUAAAGCCCUUUUGUUGGGAAAGAAAUCCAGCUGGCUAAUACCCGGUUGGGAUGACGGUACCCAAAGAAUAAGCACCGGCUAACUUCGUGCCAGCAGCCGCCGUAA